GAUGAACGCUAGCUACAGGCUUAACACAUGCAAGUCGAGGGGCAGCACAGUGUAGCAAUACAUGGGUGGCGACCGGCGCACGGGUGCGUAACGCGUAUCCAACCUUCCCGUUACUCUUGGAUAGCCUUCCGAAAGGGAGAUUAAUACAAGAUGGUAUUCAAAUUCCGCAUGUUAUUUGAAUUAAAGAUUUAUCGGUAACGGAUGGGGAUGCGUGACAUUAGGUAGAUGGCGGGGUAACGGCCCACCAUGGCGACGAUGUCUAGGGGUUCUGAGAGGAAGGUCCCCCACACUGGAACUGAGACACGGUCCAGACUCCUACGGGAGGCAGCAGUGAGGAAUAUUGGUCAAUGGUCUGACGACUGAACCAGCCAUGCCGCGUGAAGGUGACGGCCCUAUGGGGUCUUAAACUUCUUUUGCAAGGGAGCAAUAAGGUCUACGUGUAGAUCGAUGAGAGUACCUUGCGAAUAAGCAUCGGCUAACUCCGUGCCAGCAG
This 493-nucleotide ribosomal RNA is filed under the name uncultured bacterium. RNAcentral's name for it is "bacterial SSU rRNA". It matches the Rfam family "Bacterial small subunit ribosomal RNA", at positions 28 to 514 of the family's 1533-position model. The record is from RNAcentral.